This 504-nucleotide ribosomal RNA is filed under the name uncultured bacterium. Its description in RNAcentral is "bacterial SSU rRNA". It matches the Rfam family "Bacterial small subunit ribosomal RNA", at positions 28 to 520 of the family's 1533-position model. The record is from RNAcentral.
GAUGAACGCUAGCUACAGGCUUAACACAUGCAAGUCGAGGGGCAGCGGGAUUGAAGCUUGCUUCAAUUGCCGGCGACCGGCGCACGGGUGAGUAACGCGUAUCCAACCUUCCGUACACUCAGGGAUAGCCUUUCGAAAGAAAGAUUAAUACCUGAUGGUAUGAUGAGAUCGCAUGGUAUCAUCAUUAAAGAUUUAUCGGUGUACGAUGGGGAUGCGUUCCAUUAGGUAGUAGGCGGGGUAACGGCCCACCUAGCCUACGAUGGAUAGGGGUUCUGAGAGGAAGGUCCCCCACAUUGGAACUGAGACACGGUCCAAACUCCUACGGGAGGCAGCAGUGAGGAAUAUUGGUCAAUGGACGAGAGUCUGAACCAGCCAAGUAGCGUGAAGGAUGAAGGUCCUACGGAUUGUAAACUUCUUUUAUAAGGGAAUAAAACCUCCCACGUGUGGGAGCUUGUAUGUACCUUAUGAAUAAGCAUCGGCUAACUCCGUGCCAGCAGCCGACGG